RNAcentral lists this unclassified non-coding RNA (363 nucleotides) under uncultured bacterium. RNAcentral's name for it is "contains 16S-23S intergenic spacer region". The record is from RNAcentral.
UCCCCGUUACCGGGGCAGUCUGAUUAGAAAAAUUCAACUAAUCAUAAGGGUUGCGCUCGUUGAUGGACUUAACCAAACAUCUCACGACACGAGCUGACGACGGCCAUGCAACACCUGUCAUUGGGCUCCCGAAGGCACUCUCGGCUUUCACCAAAAUUCCCAAGAUGUCAAGCCCUGGUAAGGUUCUUCGCUUACCAUCGAAUUAAACAACACGCUCCACUGCUUGUGCGGCUCCCCGUCAAUUCCUUUGAGUUUUAGUCUUGCGACCGUACUCCCCAGGCGGAAUACUUAACGCGUUAGCUUCGCUACAUACCGGGUCGAUACGGCAUACAGCUAGUAUUCAUAGUUUACGGCGUGGACUAC